GACGAACGCUGGCGGCGUGCUUAACACAUGCAAGUCGAACGGAAAGGCCCUGCUUUUGUGGGGUGCUCGAGUGGCGAACGGGUGAGUAACACGUGAGUAACCUGCCCUUGACUUUGGGAUAACUUCAGGAAACUGGGGCUAAUCCCGGAUAGGAGCUCCCGCUGCAUGGUGGGGGUUGGAAAGUUUCGGCGGUUGGGGAUGGACUGGCGGCUUAUCAGCUUGUUGGUGGGGUAGUGGCUUACCAAGGCUUUGACGGGUAGCCGGCACGAGAGGGUGAACGGCGACAUGGGUACUGAGGUACGGCGCAGUCGCCUACGUGAGGCAGCAGUGGGGAGUAUUGCACAGUGGGCGGGAGCCUGAUGCAGCAACGCCGCGUGCGGGAUGACGGUCUUCGGGUUGUAAACCGCAGUCGCCUGUUACGAAGCUUGAGUGACGGUAAUGGGUAAAUAAGCACCGGCUAACUACGUG
RNAcentral lists this ribosomal RNA (468 nucleotides) under uncultured bacterium. RNAcentral's name for it is "partial 16S ribosomal RNA". It matches the Rfam family "Bacterial small subunit ribosomal RNA", at positions 28 to 507 of the family's 1533-position model. The record is from RNAcentral.